Molecule: long non-coding RNA, 1604 nt
Organism: Oncorhynchus nerka (sockeye salmon)
Lineage: Eukaryota; Metazoa; Chordata; Actinopteri; Salmoniformes; Salmonidae
Exons: 2
Source: RefSeq, a predicted model, not a curated record
UUCCAACUGCAAGAAGUGACAGCGGUGAGUAUUGACAGCAUUUGAAUUGAGAGCCAUUUUUCAAGCAUGUGAGAUGUCCAUUGUACUGUCCAUAUUAUGACCGAUAUCCCACUGGGCAAAGACGCCAAUUCAACGUCUAAGUCCUCGUUGAUUCAACUUAAUUUCAUUGAAAUGACGUUGGAAACAAUGUUGAUUCAACCAGUGUGUGCCCAGUGGGAUGGUUCCCACUCCACACUAAGACCACAGAGUACAGGGCAGGUGUUCCCUCACAAUUCCACUGGGUAAGUACCACCACCUGGAAAGUUGAUUAGGCCCUAAACGGGAGAAAUUGGACUGAAACAGUGAGGGACUACAUGGAUUACAUGGUCCAUUUUUUGUUUCUGUUUCAAAACCUUUUUAAAAUGUUGCGUGCCCUAAAUGUCCACAACACACUGACCACUAAUCCUAUCCUCCUAACUCACCAGAGUGGGUACGCAGGUGACCGCUGAGGGCGUCUCUCCGGCGACAGGCAUAGUUGCACAGGUGACACUUGAAGGGCUUCUCUCCUGAGUGGAGCUUGAUGUGACGUAGCAGGUUGCCUUUCUGGGUGAAAGAAGCGCCACACUGGGUGCACUGGAAUGGACGCUCUCCUGAGGACAAGAAACACCACACAGCAGGUUGUUAGGGCCAGCACACAGGAGCAGCUGCCACUCAUCUACAGUAUGUAUCAACACUUUAAAUGUAAUUGGCUCAUUGCAAAUGAGUGUUGGCAUAUUUUUCACUGACAAGCACACUUUUGUAAUCUCACAAAUACAUAACUGCAGUAUAGGUGUCUUUGUGAGUUAUGCAAAUAUUAUCAUGUAGAAAAAAUAGGAAUAUUUUCAGCAAAAUCUUGUUUUAUGAGCUCGGACACAAAAUGACAAUAAUGUACAUUACAGCAGAUUAGUAUUUUGUUUGUAAGAGUAGGCCUAUAUGAAUGGAAUUCUAUGCUUUAUAUAACCGAGGGUUAAUGCAAAGUGUUGACAGUGUGUGGGGAAUGUAUGAACGUGCUUUCUCUUUUGUCAUCUUACAGUAUGAGAUGGACCCAUUUUUGUCAUUUGUAUCAGUUUAUCAACCAUUCUGAGUUUGUCAUUUUGCUUUGAGCCGCACCAAUGUCGGCUCGGCUCAAUGAGAACAGCCUCUCUUCAGAGAAUAAUGGGUCAGGUAUUGAGCCAUUGUCUGAAUUUUGCUAUCUGGAUGCAAGAACUAAAGCAUCUCCACCAAUAGCACCACUGUGGAUGUGAAUGUGGGGUCACUGUACCGCAAGACUCCCAAGCACUAGAACACGGUGAAUGAUGGAGGAACUCUGAGCACAGGCCAAUCAACCAGCCUAUGAGGGUUUGAGAGCGGAGUGACACUCCAUUUCUCCAUGCACUCCCUGGCCCUGAACCUCGGAGCCGAAUGGCGCUCUGAUCGAACAAGAGCCUUUCAGACUCAGGCUGCCAGUUCCGUAAUGCACCAGUGCCUGGGUCAAUUUGAUCAGAAAAUCUCUUCUUUUUUUUCUCUUCUUCUUCGUCUCUAAAAUAAGAGCAGCCCAUCACAAUGCAAAUUCAAGCUCAUUUGAAUAAAGUGAAGGAAACACUUUG